This is an RNA transcript of Eucalyptus grandis, 3013 nucleotides long. It is a transcript of the gene named protein ROOT HAIR DEFECTIVE 3 homolog 1-like, with no coding region annotated. Lineage: Eukaryota; Viridiplantae; Streptophyta; Magnoliopsida; Myrtales; Myrtaceae. The record is from RefSeq and is a predicted model, not a curated record. The transcript is spliced from 5 exons.
UCAGAGCAGGACAAGGGAACUCCUGUCAGUCAUUUUUUUAAUGUUGAGGUCGUUGCUCUUUCUGAUUAUGAAGAAGAGGAAGAGCGAUUUAAAGAUGAGGUAUACCUACCUUGCAUCCCAUAGAAGCACGUUUGGACCUUGAAUACGAUUGCCCAAUUUUUAUGUCGGCUUUGUUGUUGUGUCUCGACAAGAUUUUCAAAUGCCGCAGUGGGCGCCCUUUCUUUCGCAUAAAUCCUGUGCUUGAGUACCGUUUAGGACAAAGCUUCGGUCCUCGUAUGCAUGAGUUUCGGAAUAUCUGUGGAAAUGCCACUCAUCAUCGACUGCUAUUUCUGAUUUCUCUGGGGCUUAUCAUUGGUGGAUGCCCUUAGAGGGUGGUUCUUGGAUAGUACCGCACCUGGUGGGCUGGCAGGAGAUCGAAGGGGGCAGUUCCUGGUUCAGGAUUUUGUUUUAGUGCUCAGCGUAUUUGGAUGGUCAUUAAGGAGAAUAAGGACUUGGACUUGCCUGCACACAGGGUGAGUGUUAAUUGAAGGGCAACUGGAUAUAUUGCUGAUAAUGAGAAUGAUAAUGGAUGCAUCAUGCUAUCCGUGUUAAGGUCAUGGUUGCUCACAUACGAUGUGAAGAAAUUGCUGACGAACAAUAUUCCAGUCUUACUGAAAAUGAGGACUGGCUUUCGAUGAAGGAGGUUGGGAGCAAUUCCCGGUUUUGGAAAGAAACUGAGUUCCAUUCUUGACACGUGUUUAUUUGGGUAAGAUGAGUAAUAUUAUUAUUUGAUGAGUUACAGAUGGUGGUGCGGCAACCGGAUUUUAUGUUCAUUAAAUAAUGCAAGUACAUUAAGGCUAUCCAACACAAUCGGCUCCAUGUUCUUACUUUUAAGAAUGUUGUUUCUGAGUUUUUCCUGGCUUACGUGAAGUGGGAGCAGUAGGAGCAUUUUCUUUUCUUGGAACAAGUGCAUUUUUUUUUAAAGAGCAAACACAAAGGAAGCCUCAGCUUUUUUGAAUUUUAUAUUGUUUGAUUUUAGGUUGUACAAAUUUGCCUCUGAUAUAUCUACUAUCUAAUUGUUGAGUUCUAGCCUGAGUAGAUGAGAUAUAACUGUUGAGGUCUAGCCUGUGCAGAUGAGAUAUAGCUAUUUUGUUCAAGUAAUCAUUCCAGCUUGAAAUGGCCCCCCUUCAUUCGCAAUCUGAGUAUUAUUUCAACUGAUUGAAUGGUUGCUUUUGAGCAAUCAUCUUAUUGUUUGAUUGAUCAAUUUACUUGAUGGUAGGAGAUUAAUGGCUAGUCACAGUGUAGCAGUUGCCUAGCUGACGGCUUAGCUUAAUUUGGCCUUCUGUUUGCGAUGUUUCCUGAUUUUAUUUUUGGGUGAAGAUUAUGUUCUGUCAGGAUUAGAAAUGUAUUUAUCACUACAAGUACGUAUCAUCUAUAUAAUUUUUUGUGGCCCUUAUUAGGUACGAAUCACAGACUACGCAUUUCAAUGGGAAUGUCAGAUCUAAGAGGCGGAAGUAGCUUGAAAAAUGGUCACUUCGAGUAAGAAGUUAUGGGGGUGGUUUUCCUUGCUUAAAGUGCUUCACUUUUUUGGGUUCUAUUGUAUGACUACCACUUCAAGCUGCUUGGAACGUGGAAAUAUUUUUCCUUUCUGACACAUUUUUCUUUCAGUCAGGAUGUUUUCAUUUGAAGUAAGCUUACACAGAGAGACUGUCCGUUAAGGAUAUCUUAUCAUAUGUUGCUUAUUGUGUUUUGUUGUUUCGUCAGCUGGUACAAUAAGCUUUCCAAGCAGUCUUUGGUCAUAUUCUGUAUGGAUGUCUAGGUGAGUUCAAGGAAAGAUUUGGCAAGGCUUUGGAAGGAGGGGAAGAGUUUUUAGUGGCUGCUCAUGACUGUACUCGGUCUUAUAUGGCCCUAUUUGAUGAACGAUGCGCAGGUACGGCAACUUGUAACCUAAUGUUUGUAAAGUCAAUGCUUUGAAAAAUUUGACCACGAACGAAGGUUUGUCAUUGUGCUUUGUCCUGUAACUAAGCUCUUUCUUGGUUCUUUGACUCUUGUUGUGCUUGCAUUUGCACUCCUUUGGUGGCCUAUUAGUUGUUUUACUUGCAUCAGUCAGAAAUGAAGGUUUGUGUCUGAGACCAGAGGCAAUGUGAAAAUAUGGUCUUGUUGGUAAAUAACACUCUGGGCAUUUAGGAAACUAUUUGUAUGUGUUCAUGCCAUGCUCACUUUUGACUUGUUAUUAGGGGAAUUUUACCACCGAAUGCAUGGAUAAGUUUCGUAUCAUACUUUGAACAGAUGUUGUAAUUGAACAAGCCAAAUGGGAUACGUCUAGCGUACGGGAGAGGCUGCGGAGUCGCAUUGAUGCCCAUGUUGGUUCAGUCCGUGAUACCAAGGUCUCUGAGCUUACGAAAGCACAUAAGGUAGCAUAAUGAGCAGAGAGAUUUCUUCUACUCUCGAGCUUCUCUCUUUGCAGUUAGAGUGGCGGAUUCCUCUGUAAGUUUGUUCUGUUCUGGGAAAUGAGUAACUGGUCAGCUUUGGACCCUAUAUGCAGCUGCUACAGAAAGAUAAAUAGUUGAAAAAAGUUGUUGUCGAGUUGAUUUUAUUGUCUUAUCUACAUUUGACAUAAUUUACUUCGAAACAUCCUUCCAGAAGUUGGAUCAUAGAGCGUAUCUUGUGAUUCAGAUGAAAUUUUGCCGGAAUGAUAGUAUAUUUCCUUUUCUUUAGUAAUACGAGAGUGAUGACAUGACCUUUGGUCCUGAUGACAAUCUGUUGUCCACCUCGAUGAAACCAUCCAUGCUGGUUAUUGUAACACAUUAGUACUUCUGUUAAUUUAUUUUGAAAGAAAUGUGCAUGACGCUCUAAUUCCUUAAAGUAAAUGAUCUCUUGGGGUGCUUGAUGUUUAGGUAUGGACCCUUUGGAGAGGAGGUUUCGAGAGUGCUAGGCGGUGGUCUUGUGCCAGGUUCCUUAAUUUUGGUGGGAGGUGAUCCUGGUGUUGGCAAGAGUACCCUGUUGCUGCAGGUAAUGUACUUAGAUGAUACAU